Molecule: long non-coding RNA, 2693 nt
Organism: Triticum aestivum (bread wheat)
Lineage: Eukaryota; Viridiplantae; Streptophyta; Magnoliopsida; Poales; Poaceae
Exons: 4
Source: RefSeq, a predicted model, not a curated record
CAGAUACAACAUUUACAAUAUUUUUUAUUGCAUGCGGUAUGUUAUUUUAUGUGGUAUGUUAUUUUAUGUGGUAUGUUUAUUAAUAAGUCUAUAGUUAGGAGACCGUAGGUCUACUUUGUUAUGUCGCAAUAAUCUAAAUUUUAUAUGUUCAGAUUAGGUGCUAAUGUACUUAAUGAUGUAUGUAAUUAGGUAAAAUAAUUCAUCUUAGUAGCAAACAAGGAGGAGAAGACGUGAUUGAAGAAAUUGUGUUUCCAUUUUGUUAGCAGGAAGAAAAAUCCGUGUGUAAUAUUGAUGUUAAUGUGAUAACAGGUUGACUCCGUUCAUAUAGUACUGACGACGGGUAUUUAUUGGAACUAUUUUGACGCUUAAUUGCAUUCGCAAGCACAUCCAUAUUGGAGCUAAGGUUAUGGGUGAAGUGCCAGUGCUUUUGCAGGGGCCCCAUGACGCCGGCCACCGUUGCCACCUAUUUUUGAAACCAAAUACUAAGCAUGAUUAUCGGCCUUUCAGACUUCGAACCAUAAAGAAAACAUGGCCAAUACACAAUCAUUUCCUUGCUCACCUUGACGCUUAUGGACUACAAGGUUUUGCUAGGCUCACAUCAUGCGACGACCAAGUACGUUCGGACCCAUCCCUUUUGACAUCCCUCGUUGACCGGUGGAGACCUGAAACCCACACCUUUCACUUUCGUUUUGGGGAGCUUGCACCUACACUGAAAGAUGUUUCUAUGAUCACUGCUCUACCAAUUAGAGGUGAACCGAUAGUCUCUCCACGAGUGUCUCCAUCUUGAGCAUUAGAUAUAGCAGCCCGUCUUGGGAUGGAAAUGCCAGAAUCACAACGUUCUGGUAACCCUCGGGGCAUCCCACUCGUCUGGCUUCAUGAUAACUUUCUUAAUUUAUCUAGCUUCGCCAAUGAGGAGACGAGAAAAAGACAUCUGUUUGCGUAUUUGUUGUGGCUCCUCGGGAAUCUAUUUUCAAAUUCACAUGGGGACGUUGUUGUCCCUGGUCUCAUCUACAUUGCAGAGAAUAUGAUAGAUGAACCUUUACCUGAGCAGCCAAAAUACAGCUUCGGUUCUGCCAUGCUAUCUCAUACAUACAGAGGCUUGUGUGAUGCCACACAAAAAACCUCUUUCGCACAAAAAGCUCCAUUACUUUGUGUCGCCUAUGAGUUUCUACAGUUGUGGUCCUGGGAAUACCUCCCUGUAGGACGACCUCGUAUAGUACAACCCAUAUACCCAUACGACUUUGGCGAGGGUGCUAGCGCAACUAUGGCCACCAGGUGGACAAAGGCACGGAAACGUUGGUCUCCAGAUAUUGCGAAAAAUUGUUACCCUUUGUACCACCAGCAGUUUGAGAUACUUGAUGAGGCAGAAGUCACAGAACCCGUGGACUCAGGACCAGCUAAAAAUGGUCUUUGAUGCUCGACACUUCACACCGGGCAUGUUGACCGAUAGUGCAUUCUGGCUGACUCGCUGCAACUUAUUGUUCCUGUGGUGUGUUGAACCUUACAACCCAGAGCGUGUAAUGAGACAGUUCGGUCUCUAUCAAGAAAUUCCACCACCUUUUCCCAGACGUAUCGACGAGGAAACACAUAAGCUAACAAAUAUGGGCAGGGGUUGGAGUUUAUACGAUUGGAGGGAAGAGAACAGUGAAUGUGUACACAAGUAGGAAAAUGAAGCGCUAGCAGAUAUAGUGCGUCAACUUAGGUAUAUUUUAUGUACAUUAUUUUUUUACGAUGAUCAUACGAUGCGUGAAGAUGCUUUGCUUUCAUCACAACGGUUUAUGUAAUUAUUUAAUUUAGCAGACCGUACGAUGGAAGUACAGAUCAAGCGUACAAGAAGUGGUACUGCAUGAACACACGUGCUAGCCUGGCCAGUCAGCCAGCUACUAUACCAACACAUCUCACACAAGAGGAGCAGGCGCGGAGACAUGUUGAGCUGCAUGCAGCUUACUAUCGUGACCACCUGCUUGAAAAUGUCAACGAAGUAGGGCAGAUGGCUACGGAUAGCAUGCCGUCCCAAGGCCCAUAUCGCAAGACAUUCCAGAAACUUUUGCAACAAUUCGUGGCAAAGAAGUUCAGAUGCGGUAGAGGCGACGACGUUGCCACUGGAGCAUACAUGCCGGUAGCGAGGUCAGCCAGACCGAGUGCGGCACCGUCGUCCAGACCGAGCGAGGCGCGUACGAGCCAUGAGCAAUGGGGGGAAGGGUCCGAGUACUAGAACGACAUUGCCAUGACAUGACUCAUCUCUGCCGCUGCAUCGCUCUUCUUCGAUGCAGCUUCGUCAGGGGAAGACAUCUCAGGACCAUGGCACGGGCUUGGAUUCGAUGCCCGAGCAGUUUCUUUCCCCUAACCCAUAUGCGUACACAGGAUAUGAUGCAUACACCCAAGGUGAGGGAUCUCAGCCGUAUCUCUUCACGCGAGGGAUCCCCAUGCCCGAGGAGACUCGUGUACCAGAUUUAAACCAGCACCACGUACCAACACCGCAGGACUGCCACCCCAGGAGGCAAACUUGCAGUCUUCAUUUUCCUCGGCCUAAUGCUUUGAUCCGAACAAGGCAAACUCAUAUCGACUGAAAAAAAUGUGUACACACUUUGCGCACUGGCGAUUUCUAGGAUGGCUGGACGAGAGCCUCGGUGUCUUCUUUUAUAGGCUCAGACGAUUAAUGAUGGCGAGAAAAUAAGCGAGAACAGAGGAAA